This 481-nucleotide ribosomal RNA is filed under the name uncultured bacterium. RNAcentral describes it as "bacterial SSU rRNA". It matches the Rfam family "Bacterial small subunit ribosomal RNA", at positions 21 to 507 of the family's 1533-position model. The record is from RNAcentral.
GGCUCAGGAUGAACGCUGGCGGCGUGCUUAACACAUGCAAGUCGAACGAAGACAUCUGAGUGCUUGCACUUGGAUGUAGAGGAAAGUGGCGGACGGGUGAGUAACGCGUGAGGAACCUGCCUUGAAGAGGGGGACAACAGUUGGAAACGACUGCUAAUACCGCAUGAUGCAUAGGGAUCGCAUGAUUCUUAUGCCAAAGAUUUAUCGCUUCAAGAUGGCCUCGCGUCUGAUUAGCUAGUUGGCGGGGUAACGGCCCACCAAGGCGACGAUCAGUAGCCGGACUGAGAGGUUGAACGGCCACAUUGGGACUGAGAUACGGCCCAGACUCCUACGGGAGGCAGCAGUGGGGAAUAUUGGGCAAUGGGCGCAAGCCUGACCCAGCAACGCCGCGUGAAGGAAGAAGGCUUUCGGGUUGUAAACUUCUUUUAAGAGGGAAGAGCAGAAGACGGUACCUCUAGAAUAAGCCACGGCUAACUACGUG